UCCGGGGGGUCCGCCGCUUCCAGGGCUCGCCGCGCGGUCCCGGCCCCCGGAAGGACGCCGGCCCUCAGGUCCUCCUCGGGGCGAUAAUAUGUGGAGCCUCACUUUCGGGCGGCAAGGGAAACAAAGAUGACGGCGCUUGGCCCGGUGGCGCGGAGGGCCCGCCCGCCCGCCCGCCGCUAUUGUGUGGCCGCCUGACGGAGCAGCAGCGCUAUUUUUCUUACUCCCAACGUGGUGAUCCGGUGGCAGCAGAGGGACUUACAAGGAGGCUUUGUCUGCAGAAGAGCUGCUGCGACACGGCCUCUCCUGAAUGGCCGCCCGGCCGCCUUCCGCGGGCACCGCCCGCAAUUUUUUUUUUUUUUCCCAUAUCAAUUAGAGGGGGGAAAAAUCUGCAUUUUCCUCCCCACCUUUUUCUUCAGAUUUGAGCCCCGGUGUCUGCCGCAGGAAAGAGCUGCCACCCGCCUUGACUUUACCUCCUUUAUGUUAGUCGUCAGCCACCCGAAAACUGUUGACGUAACCGAGGGCUUUAUGGGCCCUUCAGCAGCAUCCAGAGCUGUCUCGGGAAUAAUGAGGAAACGGUGGAGGUGGGCGAUGCUCAGGCACACGGAGCGCCCGCGUUUGUUUGGUUGAAUCCACCCGGGUGCCUCCGACGCAGGCCCCGGCGGGGGGGGGGGGGGAGGACAGGGAGCUCACAGCCACUUGGGGAGCCAGGGAAGGUGCCAGCGGGAGGAGGAGAGGCAGCUGGGCCCAGGAAGGGCUGGCAGUCCCCCGAGAAGCCCUCCACUGUGGGAUUACACAGCAGCCUGUGUAAUAUUCUAUUCACAAUAUAAUAAUAGCAGCAAGGUUUGGAUUUACAACUCCUUCCUGCUGCUCUCCCAUACCCCUCUUUUAUUUCUUCACUGCGUUUAUAACCACCUGAUAACGUCGUGUAUUUUUACACAUUUAUUGGCGUCUCUCCCCACUUGCUACUUGUGUACUGUCGUUCCCUGGAGCCUAGAGCGGUACCUGGCAAAGUACUGGGGGCUUUGCAAAUAUUUAGUGAAAUGGGUGAUUUCCAAACAGACGUGACGCGUGACGUAAAGGCCUUGUGAGGGAAUCACCAACCCGGAAGCCACGUGACGCCAGGAAAAUGGAUCUCGUCAAACGUGCGCUUUGCGUCGUGGAGCCGUAAUUGAUAAGGAAUAAGCCAAAAGAUAGUCACACCACCAUUCCGUUUUCCAAAGAAGAAUAGGAAGAUAAAUGAGCUGGCGCUUUCAGCCCAAGACAUAGCUUACAUGGAGAAAAUCAGGUGCAUGAAGCUUUCAAACUUGCCCGGAACCAUACAGCUCGUUAGCCUCUUAGAAGACUGGCGAAAAGGAUACCCUGGGCCAGUGUUUCCCUGAGAUUCACUUACAUGUGACUACAAAUACUGGAAGUGUCUCAUCUGAUGUCUGCUGGGAUUAUACUGAAAAUGAAUUUUUUAAGAACGCAACUGCGUAGUUAAUGCAGUUCAAGCUGUUUCCUGAGAAACAGAAAUAACCCUAGGCCAGCACUACGUCAAAAAAAUCAGAAUUAUGGUCAUGUGUUCUGCCCUUUCUGCCUAACAUAAAAAUAUAGAAAACAAUUUAACAUUUAACAUACAUGUUACUCAUCACCUAUUUUCUGCAUUUUUUUUUAUCAAGGAAUAGUCUAUACAUGGUAUUU
Molecule: long non-coding RNA, 1680 nt
Organism: Canis lupus familiaris (dog)
Lineage: Eukaryota; Metazoa; Chordata; Mammalia; Carnivora; Canidae
Exons: 4
Source: RefSeq, a predicted model, not a curated record